GAUUAUGGCUCAGGAUGAACGCUAGCUACAGGCUUAACACAUGCAAGUCGAGGGGUAGCAGGGUCUAGCAAUAGAUCGCUGACGACCGGCGCACGGGUGAGUAACACGUAUCCAACCUUCCGUUUACUCGGGGAUAGCCUUUCGAAAGAAAGAUUAAUACCCGAUAGUAUGCUUUUCCCGCAUGGGAGAAUCGUUAAAGUUUUUCGGUAAUCGAUGGGGAUGCGUUCCAUUAGGCAGUUGGUGAGGUAACGGCUCACCAAACCUUCGAUGGAUAGGGGUUCUGAGAGGAAGGUCCCCCACAUUGGAACUGAGACACGGUCCAAACUCCUACGGGAGGCAGCAGUGAGGAAUAUUGGUCAAUGGACGAGAGUCUGAACCAGCCAAGUAGCCGUGAAGGAUGACUGCCCUAUGGGUUGUAAACUUCUUUUAUAUGGGAAUAAAGGAGCCUACGUGUAGGUUUUUGUAUGUACCAUACGAAUAAGGAUCGGCUAACUCCGUGCCAGCAGCCGC
This 510-nucleotide ribosomal RNA is filed under the name uncultured bacterium. RNAcentral's name for it is "bacterial SSU rRNA". It matches the Rfam family "Bacterial small subunit ribosomal RNA", at positions 15 to 518 of the family's 1533-position model. The record is from RNAcentral.